This 305-nucleotide ribosomal RNA is filed under the name uncultured bacterium. RNAcentral's name for it is "bacterial SSU rRNA". It matches the Rfam family "Bacterial small subunit ribosomal RNA", at positions 333 to 631 of the family's 1533-position model. The record is from RNAcentral.
ACAGACCUACGGGACGCAGCAGUAGGGAAUUUUCGUCAAUGGGCGCAAGCCUGAACGAGCAAUGCCGCGUGAACGAGGAAGGUCUUCGGAUCGUAAAGUUCUGUUGAAGGGGAAAAAGAGCGGGGAGAGGAAAUGAACUCCGAUUGAUAUUACCCUUCGAGGAAGUCACGGCUAACUACGUGCCAGCAGCCGCGGUAAUACGUAGGUGGCGAGCGUUAUCCGGAAUGAUUGGGCGUAAAGGGUGCGUAGGCGGCCUGCUAAGUCUGGAGUGAAAGGUACCGGCUCAACCGGUACAGGCUCUGGAA